Molecule: ribosomal RNA, 433 nt
Filed under: uncultured marine bacterium
Lineage: Bacteria
Description: bacterial SSU rRNA
Rfam family: Bacterial small subunit ribosomal RNA
Source: RNAcentral
UACACAUGCAAGUCGAGCGAGAAAGGUCUUCGGACUGAGUACAGCGGCGGACGGGUGAGUAACGCGUAGGAAUCUACCCAGUAGUGGGGGACAACUUGGGGAAACUCAAGCUAAUACCGCAUACGCCCUAUGGGGGAAAGCGGGGGAUCUUCGGACCUCGCGCUAUUGGAUGAGCCUGCGUCGGAUUAGCUAGUUGGUGGGGUAAAAGCCUACCAAGGCGACGAUCCGUAGCUGGUCUGAGAGGACGAUCAGCCACACUGGGACUGAGACACGGCCCAGACUCCUACGGGAGGCAGCAGUGGGGAAUAUUGGACAAUGGGCGAAAGCCUGAUCCAGCAAUGCCGCGUGAGUGAUGAAGGCCUUAGGGCUGUAAAGCUCUUUUACCAGGGAUGAUAAUGACAGUACCUGGAGAAUAAGCUCCGGCUAACUCCGU